RNAcentral lists this ribosomal RNA (497 nucleotides) under uncultured bacterium. Its description in RNAcentral is "partial 16S ribosomal RNA". It matches the Rfam family "Bacterial small subunit ribosomal RNA", at positions 28 to 507 of the family's 1533-position model. The record is from RNAcentral.
GAUGAACGCUGGCGGCGUGCCUAAUACAUGCAAGUCGAGCGAACGGACGAGAAGCUUGCUUCUCUGAUGUUAGCGGCGGACGGGUAAGUAACACGUGGAUAACCUACCUAUAAGACUGGGAUAACUUCGGGAAACCGGAGCUAAUACCGGAUAAUAUUUUGAACCGCAUGGUUCAAAAGUGAAAGACGGUCUUGCUGUCACUUAUGGAUGGAUCCGCGCUGCAUUAGCUAGUUGGUAAGGUAACGGCUUACCAAGGCAACGAUGCAUAGCCGACCUGAGAGGGUGAUCGGCCACACUGGAACUGAGACACGGUCCAGACUCCUACGGGAGGCAGCAGUAGGGAAUCUUCCGCAAUGGGCGAAAGCCUGACGGAGCAACGCCGCGUGAGUGAUGAAGGUCUUCGGAUCGUAAAACUCUGUUAUUAGGGAAGAACAUAUGUGUAAGUAACUGUGCACAUCUUGACGGUACCUAAUCAGAAAGCCACGGCUAACUACGUG